GUCCGACCUUUACGGCUGAGAGAGAGACUCUCAGCUUUCGGUGGGUUCCACAGCUAGACGGGCCACCAUCUUACAUUAGGCUUUCACCUUGAUGUCUGACUCCGGGUUUUUAUUAUUAAGACCAAUUGGAAUUCAUGCUACAAGUGAUCACCAAGAAGAUCUCAGUCGUCAUGGGCUGAGGAAUGAACCCAGGGCUUUGCGCUUGCUAGGCAAGUGCUCUACUACUGAGCUAAAUCCCCAACCCCAAGACCUUGAUUUUUACUGGUUGAAGAUGCCUAAUAAGCUACCCCAAAAGCCAGCCUGACUGCCAUCACAGCGUCCUAGCUGGUUUGAACACUUCAUAGACGCUGUGAAGAAACCACCCUUCAGAUGCCAGGAAUACCGCUGCCUCCCCUACUGACCAGGAGCUGCAAUUCAGAAGGCCUUAGUCCAGUCACCAGCAUUCCAGACAAAGUACACUGGCUUUGCAGGACUUCUCCAAACCUUCUAGAACUCUAGGUGACCCUGAUCACUCUGUGACUAUUUUCACUCAUGCCACAUGGAGGGGGGACAUACUCCUGACCUUCCCGACUCCACAGAAAGCUUGUGGUUCAUGAAGAUUAGAGUUUGUGAUUGGUCAUUACAUAAGGCAUGUGGUUGGAAGUGAUCUGUGUUGUGAUUGGUGUAGAUUACAUUGGCAUGCUCCAUACUUGCCACACUCUUUCUGGCAAUAGAACCAAGCAGGUCCUCUUCCAUGUACUGACCUCAGUGUCACAGCAUUGGGCUCAAAAUAAAAUCUUCUCUUUAAUUUU
Molecule: long non-coding RNA, 791 nt
Organism: Peromyscus leucopus (white-footed mouse)
Lineage: Eukaryota; Metazoa; Chordata; Mammalia; Rodentia; Cricetidae
Exons: 4
Source: RefSeq, a predicted model, not a curated record